This is a long non-coding RNA of Prunus persica (peach), 1385 nucleotides long. RefSeq lists it as uncharacterized. Lineage: Eukaryota; Viridiplantae; Streptophyta; Magnoliopsida; Rosales; Rosaceae. The record is from RefSeq and is a predicted model, not a curated record. The transcript has 2 exons.
CUCAAGUUUUCAAAUCCACCAUUUAUGAAAGGAUGAGUCACCUAUUCUAAAUUGAUGACUCACCUAGCCUAACAUUCUUCAAUCAUGAAUUUAUUCUCUUCCUCCCCAUUCAUUGUGUCAUCACUCUUUUCUAAAUUGAUAACCCACCUAGCCUAAGAUUCUUCAAUCAUGAAAUUAUUCUUAUCCUCAUCAUUCAUUGUGUCAUCCCUUUCUUCUUAAUUCACCUUAUUUUCAUCCUCAUUCUUCUUUUGUUCCUCUUCAAAAUCCAAAAUUCGUCACUUCCUUGGAGCAGCCGAGGACUCAAAUUUCGGAAGCUCAAAUGAGAAACCUUCCUUCAUAAAAGUUGUUCAUUUAUGUGAUUCCUAUAACAUUCUCCAAUUGCAGCUCAAUCCGACUAGCACAGGCUCCAAAAAGUUGGUAUGAUCACAGUAUGUUUACUAUUUUCUGAUUUCGCAAUAGUAUUCUCAGUUUUAAUAUGUUUCUAUGAUUUUCUGUACUCAAAUGACUUUGGUUCCUUCAUCAAAGUUGUUCGCAAUUCUGUCUAUUAUAACAUAUCAAAAUUUUAGGUUGAUUGGACUUCUAUAGCCACCUUGGGAAUAUUUAGAGUGGAACUUGUUUAUAGUCUUCGACCCUAAUUCCUUCCCUCAGUUUCAGUCCAGAACACUCAUUUUGAAACUCAAAACACAAUGAUUUCUUCCUAAUAGUUACUCCAAAUUCUCCUCUUUAUAACAUAUCCAAAGGUUAGCAAAACGCAACCAUUAUAACUUUGAUAAUUGGCAUGAACAAAACUUGUUCAUUGAUUAUAUUGAAUUUCUUGUUAUAGAUAUGUACUUUCUCUCAAAUGGCUUGUUACUUGUCAUUCAAUUGAUCAAAUUAGCCAUUAUCAGCUCAAGUAAAUGAUUCUUUGAAGGUGUUCUACUAUGCAUACUUUCAAGGACGAACCCGCACAAGGUUAAGCUAGUUGGACACGAGGUAGGGUUUCUCGAUUCGCGAUGAUUGGGCUAUAUCACUUUUAAUCUUGGUGCUAAUAUAUAGUGCUAAAAAUAUGAAUAUUAUUGUUGCUUUGCUCGGUGAAUAUUAUUUGACGUCUCUUCAUGGAUAUUAUUUAACGUUGGGUGAAUUAUUAUUCAUGUGAUUAAAUCUGAAAUAUUAUUGUUAUUAUUUGUAUUAUUAUUCAGCAGAGAUAAAUUAUGUUUGCGUUGCAUUACAUAUACAUCAUAAAUACAGUGAUGUUGAGAGUGUGUGUGUGUCGUUUGACAUAUAUCUAAGGAUAUCUGAGUAAAAAAAUGUGGAAUAUAUUCAGGUGACGGGAGCAGGGCUUGAAUAUAUUAGGUUGAUGGGAGCAAGGCCUCUAAUGAAAAGUGAAAGUUGAUAAAUUCGUGAAC